GACGAACGCUGGCGGCGUGCUUAACACAUGCAAGUCGAACGGAAAGGCCCUGCUUUUGUGGGGUGCUCGAGUGGCGAACGGGUGAGUAACACGUGAGUAACCUGCCCUUGACUUUGGGAUAACUUCAGGAAACUGGGGCUAAUACCGGAUAGGAGCUCCUGCUGCAUGGUGGGGGUUGGAAAGUUUCGGCGGUUGGGGAUGGACUCGCGGCUUAUCAGCUUGUUGGUGGGGUAGUGGCUUACCAAGGCUUUGACGGGUAGCCGGCCUGAGAGGGUGACCGGCCACAUGGGGACUGAGAUACGGCCCAGACUCCUAGGGGAGGCAGCAGUGGGGAAUAUUGCACAAUGGGCGGAAGCCUGAUGCAGAAACGCCGGGGGGGGAUGACGGCCUUCGGGUUGUAAACCGCUUUCGCCUGUGACGAAGCGUGAGUGACGGUAAUGGGUAAAGAAGCACCGGCUAACUACGUG
RNAcentral lists this ribosomal RNA (467 nucleotides) under uncultured bacterium. Its description in RNAcentral is "partial 16S ribosomal RNA". It matches the Rfam family "Bacterial small subunit ribosomal RNA", at positions 28 to 507 of the family's 1533-position model. The record is from RNAcentral.